AUUGAACGCUGGCGGAAUGCUUUACACAUGCAAGUCGAACGGCAGCACGGGGCAACCUGGUGGCGAGUGGCGAACGGGUGAGUAAUAUAUCGGAACGUGCCCAAUCGUGGGGGAUAACGUAGCGAAAGUUACGCUAAUACCGCAUACGAUCUACGGAUGAAAGCGGGGGAUCGCAAGACCUCGCGCGAAUGGAGCGGCCGAUAUCAGAUUAGGUAGUUGGUGGGGUAAAGGCUCACCAAGCCAACGAUCUGUAGCUGGUCUGAGAGGACGACCAGCCACACUGGAACUGAGACACGGUCCAGACUCCUACGGGAGGCAGCAGUGGGGAAUUUUGGACAAUGGGGGAACCCUGAUCCAGCCAUGCCGCGUGCAGGAUGAAGGCCUUCGGGUUGUAAACUGCUUUUGUACGGAACGAAAGGUCUUUUCUAAUAAAGAAGGCUGAUGACGGUACCGUAAGAAUAAGCACCGGCUAACUACGUG
This 480-nucleotide ribosomal RNA is filed under the name uncultured bacterium. Its description in RNAcentral is "bacterial SSU rRNA". It matches the Rfam family "Bacterial small subunit ribosomal RNA", at positions 30 to 507 of the family's 1533-position model. The record is from RNAcentral.